CAUUCUCCUCCCCUAAACCCUCUUUUUUGUCACCCCCUCUCUCUUUUUCCAUUCUCCACACUUUUCUUUUCCAAAAUCGAUAGCCACCCUUAAGUCGCUGCAAGCCACACACUUUAUCCACCCAAACCGCCACACACCUUAGCUACCCAAACUGCCGCAAGCUUAUCCACCAAACACCAUAUUCCAACUGCCACCAAACUGCCACCCUAACCCACCCAAAUGUCGAUCCUUUAGCCAUUUAGUCGUCGCGCCUAGCGAAAGAUUUUCACCGAUUUUCCAAAAUUUUUAUUUUACACUCCAAAUAUGUCUAGUACUAGAAAGGGAAGUACGUCUCAAACCACUGGAUUCCAAUAUCGAUUACAUAGCAAGAAGCAACGGAGAGGUUCGAAUCAAUUUUCAAAAAGCAACUGAUUCUUCCGGACAAAGGGUUCGACUUGGAAAAUAUUGAUCCGUGAAAAGUGCUGCCAAACAUUCGAAAAAACUGUCAAUGCAUUAAAGUGGAAUAUGUUCUGUACAAAAAGACCACUUUAUGAGGUUGAAUUAGUACGAGAAUUUUACUCGAACUUGACUUCGUCCACCAAAACAGAAGUUCUUGUUUAAGGUAAAAAGGUAUUUUUUGCACCUCAAGCUAUAAAUGGUUUUUUUCACUUACCCAAUAUAAAAGACGAAUAUUAUUCUGCUAUGUUGAAAAACAUUGAGACAAAAUUACUUCAAGAAGUGCUGAAAGAAGUCACAGUUCCCAGAUCUAAAUGGGUAAUUAAGAUAUACGACAGUCACACUUGCUGAAGAGAGUUUCUGAACCCAACAGCAAAGGUACGGUUUUAUUUCAUAUGAUUCAACCUUAUGCCUAUCUCACAAAGUUCCACUAUCAUGAUGGAAUGAAUAUUCUUGUGAUAUACGAUCAUGACAGAAAGGUCUAUCGAUGUGGGAAAGAUUAUCCACAAAGAAAUUUGAGAUUAUGCAACUAAGCAGGCUGGUUACUCUUAUUUUCCAUCAUUGAUUACUCACUGCUAUGCUUGCAAUCUCACAUACUUCCGAAGGUAGAUUUCAAAGCAAGAAUCCACCCAGGCCAUAUCAUAGACAAUGACGUUGCUAGAAUAGUAGGUGGCGCUGCUAGGCAAAAGCAACCCGCUGAUGAAGAAUCCGAUACAGGACCACCCGAUCAUCUAGUUGAGCCGGAGCCUGAUUUCAUGACACCCACCGGACCUGUUAUUCUAGAAUGGGUCGAGCCUAGAACUACCUUUCCAUCAUCCAAAACUGCUGCACAAUCGGGCCAAGCUGAAAUCAUGAGCAUGCUAUAGCACAUGCAUCAAUAGUAGCAAGCUUAUUGGAGAUAUGCAAAAAUCCGAGACGAUUUGGUAAGGGGUGCAUUUAGAGAACUCACACAUAACCCAUUUGAUUCUAUGCCUGAAUUUCCAGAUUUUUUCUUUGAUCCAUGGAUGCCAACUUCAGAAGCCAAGCAAGACAAAUUCAUCACUCCGAGGAGAAUAUCUAAAUGCACAAAGGGUCGUGGGAAAGUGGAAACAAUUUCAAAUAGCGAGGAUUUUAUCAAAUAAAUGAGGGGUUGUUCUUUUUCUUUUUUUUUUCUAUUUUGGACAUGUUAGAUUUAAGUAUUUCUUUUUAUUUUCGUUUUCUGCAUAAUAAAAAUUAAAGUUGCAAUUAUGAAUAAAUUGGAUAAAUUUGCGAAUAAAAAUUUUUAAGUCUAUGAAAAAUAAGAACUGUGGUAAUGAUUAUUUGCAUGUCUAGGAUUUGAUUUGUCAAGGAAAUGCUUAGUAUUUAAGCAAUCAACUUGACUCAUCUCCCUUUCCUGGGAUCCUACCUG
RNAcentral lists this long non-coding RNA (1822 nucleotides) under Gossypium barbadense (sea-island cotton). Its description in RNAcentral is "long non-coding RNA (GBAR_LNC019831)". The record is from RNAcentral. Lineage: Eukaryota; Viridiplantae; Streptophyta; Magnoliopsida; Malvales; Malvaceae.